GACGAACGCUGGCGGCGUGCUUAACACAUGCUUGUCGAACGGAAAGGCCCUGCUUUUGUGGGGUGCUCGAGUGGCGAACGGGUGAGUAACACGUGAGUAACCUGCCCUUGACUUUGGGAUAACCUCAGGAAACUGGGGCUAAUACCGGAUAGGAGCUCCUGCUGCAUGGUGGGGGUUGGAAAGUUUCGGCGGUUGGGGAUGGACUCGCGGCUUAUCAGCUUGUUGGUGGGGUAGUGGCUUACCAAGGCUUUGACGGGUAGCCGGCCUGAGAGGGUGACCGGCCACAUUGGGACUGAGAUACGGCCCAGACUCCUACGGGAGGCAGCGGUGGGGAAUAUUGCACAAUGGGCGGAAGCCUGAUGCAGCAACGCCGCGUGCGGGAUGACGGCCUUCGGGUUGUAAACCGCCUUCGCCUGUGACGAAGCGUGAGUGACGGUAAUGGGUAAAGAAGCACCGGCUAACUACGUGCCAGCAGCCGCGGUGAUACGUAGGGUGCGAGCGUUGUCCGGAUUUAUUGGGCGUAAAGGGCUCGUAGGUGGUUGAUCGCGUCGGAAGUGUAAUCUUGGGGCUUAACCCUGAGCGUGCUUUCGAUACGGGCUGACUUGAGGAAGGUAGGGGAGAAUGGAAUUCCUGGUGGAGCGGUGGAAUGCGCAGAUAUCAGGAGGAACACCAGUGGCGAAGGCGGUUCUCUGGGCCUUUCCUGACGCUGAGGAGCGAAAGCGUGGGGAGCGAACAGGCUUAGAUACCCUGGUAGUCCACGCUGUAAACGGUGGGUACUAGGUGUGGGGUCCAUUCCACGGGUUCCGUGCCGUAGCUAACGCUUUAAGUACCCCGCCUGGGGAGUACGGCCGCAAGGCUAAAACUCAAAGGAAUUGACGGGGCCCCGCACAAGCGGCGGAGCAUGCGGAUUAAUUCGAUGCAACGCGUAGAACCUUACCUGGGUUUGACAUGGAUCGGGAGUGCUCAGAGAUGGGUGUGCCUCUUUUGGGGUCGGUUCACAGGUGGUGCAUGCCUGUCGUCAGCUCGUGUCGUGAGAUGUUGGGUUAAGUCCCGCAACGAGCGCAACCCUUGUUCACUGUUGCCAGCACGUUAUGGUGGGGACUCAGUGGAGACCGCCGGGGUCAACUCGGAGGAAGGUGGGGAUGACGUCAAGUUCUCAUGCCCCUUAUGUCCAGGGCUUCACGCAUGCUACAAUGGCUGGUACAGAGAGUGGCGAGCCUGUGAGGGUGAGCGAAUCUCGGAAAGCCGGUCUCAGUUCGGAUUGGGGUCUGCAACUCGACCUCAUGAAGUCGGAGUCGCUAGUAAUCGCAGAUCAGCAACGCUGCGGUGAAUACGUUCCCGGGGCU
Molecule: ribosomal RNA, 1346 nt
Filed under: uncultured bacterium
Lineage: Bacteria
Description: partial 16S ribosomal RNA
Rfam family: Bacterial small subunit ribosomal RNA
Source: RNAcentral